CGUUGAUUACGUCCCUGCCUUUUGUACACACCGCCCGUCGCUACUACCGAUUGAAUGGCUCAGUGAGGCGUUCGGACUGCCUUAGGGAGGGUGGCAACCCCCACCCAGAGGCGGAAAGUUAUCCAAACUUGGUCAUUUAGAGGAAGUAAAAGUCGUAACAAGG
This 163-nucleotide ribosomal RNA is filed under the name Sclerotinia sclerotiorum. RNAcentral describes it as "partial small subunit ribosomal RNA". It matches the Rfam family "Eukaryotic small subunit ribosomal RNA", at positions 1639 to 1799 of the family's 1831-position model. Lineage: Eukaryota; Fungi; Ascomycota; Leotiomycetes; Helotiales; Sclerotiniaceae. The record is from RNAcentral.